RNAcentral lists this microRNA precursor (52 nucleotides) under Loxodonta africana (African savanna elephant). RNAcentral describes it as "mir-1302 microRNA precursor family". It matches the Rfam family "mir-1302 microRNA precursor family". Lineage: Eukaryota; Metazoa; Chordata; Mammalia; Proboscidea; Elephantidae. The record is from Rfam by way of RNAcentral.
UUUUUAGUAUAAGUAAGCCCCAAGCAACAUUUGGGACAUACUUGUACUAAUA